Acanthosepion pharaonis is the source of this 114-nucleotide non-coding RNA. NCBI's taxonomy places the organism in Eukaryota, Metazoa, Mollusca, Cephalopoda, Sepiida, Sepiidae. The record is from the annotation of a GenBank genome assembly.
UUACGGCCACAGUACGUCGAAACACUGGUUCCCGUAUGACCAACGAAGUUAAGCAAUAUCGAGCCUAGUCAGUAACUAGACGGGUGACCACUUAGUAAUACCAGGUGCUGUAAG